AUGCACGCUGGCGGCGUGCCUAAUACAUGCCAGUCGAGCGAACAGACGAGGAGCUUGCUCCUCUGACGUUAGCGGCGGACGGGUGAGUAACACGUGGAUAACCUACCUAUAAGACUGGGAUAACUUCGGGAAACCGGAGCUAAUACCGGAUAAUAUAUUGAACCGCAUGGUUCAAUAGUGAAAGACGGUUUUGCUGUCACUUAUAGAUGGAUCCGCGCCGCAUUAGCUAGUUGGUAAGGUAACGGCUUACUAAGGCAACGAUGCGUAGCCGACCUGAGAGGGUGAUCGGCCACACUGGAACUGAGACACGGUCCAGACUCCUACGGGAGGCAGCAGUAGGGAAUCUUCCGCAAUGGGCGAAAGCUUGACGGAGCAACGCCGCGUGAGUGAUGAAGGUCUUCGGAUCGUAAAACUCUGUUAUUAGGGAAGAACAAAUGUGUAAGUAACUAUGCACGUCUUGACGGUACCUAAUCAGAAAGCCACGGCUAACUACGUG
This 496-nucleotide ribosomal RNA is filed under the name uncultured bacterium. Its description in RNAcentral is "partial 16S ribosomal RNA". It matches the Rfam family "Bacterial small subunit ribosomal RNA", at positions 29 to 507 of the family's 1533-position model. The record is from RNAcentral.